UUUGACCCUUCACCAUCUCAAGUAACAGCAUGCUUCUGAGAAAACAUACCUUCCUGUCAAAAUGGAAAUGAGGUACAAAUGACACAACAACAAAAAAAAAAGAUGAGGAAGGAUAACCUGAAUCAUUCCCCGACCAGGAAUCGAACCCGUGGCCCCUGCAGUGGAAGCACGGAAUCCUAACGACUGGACCGCCAGGGAAUUCCCAACAAAUUAUUUUAUUCAUCACAAUAGGAUCUACAUUUCAAAAAAACAGGAGCACGUAUAGAACUGAAAUAUUUAUUCAGCCUAUAGACAAUGCUUGGUAUGCAUAUGGAUAGCCGAUCCAAAAAUUCCAUAGCCAAUUCAGGUAUGUUCUGCCAACAGACUGAGAACCAAACUUUGGUGUAUCACAGAAUCACCUGUAAAGCCUGUUAAAACUCCAUACGCCUGGCCCCAGGCACUAACCACGUCUUGACUGUAGUUCAGUAUGUGUCCAACAGAUGUCUUCACGCUUCUAUCCAUCAAAGGAAAGGCACUCCAGUAAACAAUACAAAAUCUAACAGUAAGUCACGUAACAAUGUAAUUUCAGUACAAACAGAAAAUACAAUGCUUAAUUUAAUUUUUGUUUUUCUUCUUUGGCUUUUAUUUGGGGGAAUUAUUUACCUGCUAUCUACAGAGUCAUGUUCAUAAACAAAAUGGAAAACUAAUCACAAAUGUUCCUGGAUAUGAGUGCCAUUUUUUUUUUAUUUUUAUGAGUGCCAUUUUAAUGUUACUGUAUUUCAUCAAAUCUAAGAUGCCACUGAUUGUAAGGUAAACCACUGUUUAAUGUGCUGGAAAGAAAAGAAGGAAAUGCCUCCAAAUAAACCAUGACCCAAGCUUCUAUCAUUCAGAAUUUUUAUUUUAUACUGAUUGCAAGACCCUUUUUUACUUAUUUAACCAUAAAGUUUAAUCAUAUAUCAUUUUGAACUGUUUUAUAACUUUCUCCAUACCAAUAACUGUUUCAAUGCUGGUUCACAGCAUAAUAUUACUGAAGACAUACUGAACAACAGCUAAAGUUAACAUGAGAAAUAGCAACAAUACUCACAACAUUGACUAAAAUGAGCAGCUGUUAACUGUUUGUGAGUACACAGGCAAACAAAUCAAGCAGGACUGUGGCCUUGGUGACAGAGAUUUUAAGAUGCCAUCAAGGAUAAGACUUAUUAACUCAAUUUCAUACUGUUGAGAUGGGAAAAACUAUGAGUCUUGGAAUUGAUGAAAGCCCGCUUUUUUAAAAGAUGGACAAUAAUCCAAUAAUAAUAAAAUCUAUGGAUAUCCCAGUGUUGCCAGCUCUCAAUUCUUUCUGCCUUUCUUGACACACUAGUGAUAUAAUGCACAAUAGCCAUUUCAAGUCACCACUCACCCAACCUAGAGUUGUUAAGUUCUUUAUUAGACUUCCUUGUUCACUCGUAAUUCUCCCUCCCCCAUUUAUUCUCAACACAGCCAGAGUAGAUUUUAAAAGCUAAACUAGAUCACUCCCUUGAUUAAACACUGGUGCAGUUUUCUCUUGCACUUUGAAUAAAAUUGUUGCAUUACCUGCAGGGAUCCUGAAGGCAAGUGCUUUGUCUCCUAGAGGGCAUGGAUUUUUGUUUUGUUCACUGCUACUAUAUUUCCUUGUGCUCUGCACAUGGGUUAGUGCCCAAUAAAUAUCUGAUGAAUGCAAUCAAUGACUCUGGCCCUGGCUACCUCUUCAACCUCUCAUCUCAUGCCUGUUUUCCCCUUAGACAAUAUGCUUUUGUCCUCUAGUCUCCUUGCUGUCUCCUGAAAACUUCUCAUCCGGCCUUUGAAACUGUUAACCUUCUUCAUGAAAUGAUUUUACCCAAAUGCUCAGCAAGACUGUUUCAACUUUCUUCAGAUCUCCCUUAAAGGGCACCUCCUCAAAGAUGCUUACCCUGUUUAUCCCCUCUCCCAACAUAAUUAGACUCAACUAAUUUAUUUCCUCUCAUAAUUAUGUUUAUUGUCUCUCACCAGAUUUUUAAGUUCUAGGAGGGCACAGACCAUGUGUUCUGACAUGGAAAAUGUAUACCCAGCGUGUAUCCCAGGGUCACAUACAUUCUAGAAGCUCAAUGGAUGUUUGUUGAGUAAUGAGCAAAGAAAGGCUGUGCCGAGUGCCUCUAGCACCUUGUCACUCUGGAAACGAAACAGUCAAGCCACAUGUUACAAAGCUUUACUCCAAAUUACCAUUUUAGCUUCUGUUACCUGUAUUUUCUAACAUACACAAAUUUAAUUGUUUAAGCCUCUUGCUAUAGCAAUAAAAGAUUCUUUCCUGUCUCAAGAUUGUAUUAAAACCUUUUUCUUACAUUCUC
Molecule: long non-coding RNA, 2321 nt
Organism: Balaenoptera acutorostrata (minke whale)
Lineage: Eukaryota; Metazoa; Chordata; Mammalia; Artiodactyla; Balaenopteridae
Exons: 2
Source: RefSeq, a predicted model, not a curated record